GGAUCCCCACGGGGUCAAACUUCUAAAGAACAAAACAUGGAAGAUACUGGAUAGAAUACAACAGGUUGGAUGGGGCCAGUUGCUCUCCCCCUGCUAAAUAUAAGAGAAUCGUCACUUUAAAAGAGCAUACAAAGAAAAUACCCCAGUGGUUCUACAAUACGCUCAGGACUCUAAAGUCUGACAUUCUCCAGCUCUUGUGCUCUGCUUUUAUUUUUUAAUUCCCAGAACUGGUUCAAAGUCCUAGAAAUUUUCCUAUGGCUUUUUAACACCCAAUGUUCCUUAUACAAAUAAUUAUGAUCAUAAUAAAAUACAAAAUGUUGUGGCUC
This is a long non-coding RNA of Hemicordylus capensis (graceful crag lizard), 326 nucleotides long. RefSeq lists it as uncharacterized. The transcript has 2 exons. The record is from RefSeq and is a predicted model, not a curated record. Lineage: Eukaryota; Metazoa; Chordata; Lepidosauria; Squamata; Cordylidae.